AUACGGAGGAUGCGAGCGUUAUCCGGAUUUAUUGGGUUUAAAGGGUGCGUAGGCUGUGCGUUAAGUCAGGGGUGAAAUGCCGUCGCUCAACGACGGAGCUGCCCUUGAUACUGGCGUGCUGGAGUACGGAUGCCGUUGGAGGAAUGAGUGGUGUAGCGGUGAAAUGCUUAGAUAUCACUCAGAACACCGAUUGCGAAGGCAUCUGACGAAUCCGUCACUGACGCUGAGGCACGAAAGCGUGGGGAUAGAACAGGAUUAGAUACCCUGGUAUCCCACGCCGUAAACGAUGAUGACUAACCGUCGGCGAUAGACAGCCGGUGGCCAAGCGAAAGCGAUAAGUCAUCCACCUGGGGAGUACGUCGGCAACGAUGAAACUCAAAGGAAUUGACGGGG
This 393-nucleotide ribosomal RNA is filed under the name uncultured bacterium. Its description in RNAcentral is "partial 16S ribosomal RNA". It matches the Rfam family "Bacterial small subunit ribosomal RNA", at positions 523 to 918 of the family's 1533-position model. The record is from RNAcentral.